Phycodurus eques (leafy seadragon) is the source of this 1859-nucleotide long non-coding RNA. RefSeq lists it as uncharacterized. The transcript is spliced from 3 exons. The record is from RefSeq and is a predicted model, not a curated record. NCBI's taxonomy places the organism in Eukaryota, Metazoa, Chordata, Actinopteri, Syngnathiformes, Syngnathidae.
GAAGAGCUGCUUGAGCGAGAAGAGCGAGCGCCGCAGCUCCGGACCGUGACUGUUGUACAAUUUCUCUGCAAGACAAUGGCGGGAAACAGGAAGUGAAGUCACCGCCGUUUGUGCUGCAGGAUUCGGUUUUUGCGACUCUUUCUGUGAGCAACUUGGGGACCGGGUCAACAAAGUUGACGGGUGGAUUUGAAAGUGGAGCGGAAUUGGUCGCGCUAACCGACGUCAUCGGUCAACGGACUUUGCUUGAACGGCUGACGUCGUCACCUGCUUCGCUCACCUUGAGGGGCGCGUCCAGCAGCUUGUGCACGACCGGAAGCAGUUGACCGAGCGGCGCGUUCUGGUCCACGUCGAGGGAGGGAGGCCGCCGAGGUUCCGGAAAGUUGGUACAGAUGAAAGGAUCCUGGUCCAGCAGGAACUGGACGCGGCAGGUGACCGCAGACAUGCCGACGACGUCUGCCGCGGGUGCGUCAACGUGCGAAAAUGAGGCCGCGCCAGCCGACGCGAGUGGCCUUUAAAUCAAUACGACACAAGCGCGCCGCUCUAAGGGAGACGACUUCCGCUCGCGCCCUUCAAAACAAGAAAAACAAAAGCAGCGUCAACUCGCCCAACCGGAAACCAAACCUACCUGUUGAGCUCAAGUGCUCCCAAAAAAAUCGAAAUGAUAGUUUUUGCAUUGUUUCAUACAAAGGUUCCAACGUGUCACUUCCUGUCACGCGGAAGUGGCAGUGGAGCUUUCCAGCUGGGCUCCUGUUGGCUCACAACUUUUAUUCUGAAGGCAAAGAGGCUCAACGACCACCGGAUGUCGCUCCUCGAUCCCACACGCUCAGGUGAGACGCCCUCAGAGGCGCUUGAAAAUGACGUCAUCAAGGUGAUGCAACACAGACCUUGGGUUAUACGAGACCGCGACCUCGCUCUCGUGGCUCGGGUAAGGGUGAGGGCACCGGUGCCCAGACGAAUACGUAUGGGCACCGGCCGUCUUUUCAAUUCGCAGGCGCAUAUUGAGCUGAACGCCGAAUCUAACAUCUGAUUGGUUACACCAUUUCAAGGGUGUUCGACUUGGUUGACACAAGCAAUUGGGAUUCUGAAGGCCUUGGGCAGAUUACAUUUACAUGGCAACAGAUAGGACCUGAAAAUCUGAUUGGACAAAAAAAGCAAAUCGCCACAUAUGACGCUGAACGCGACUGGAAGCUGAGCGAAGCGCGUGCGCACAUGCUAUAAAUCCAUAUAGACUAUUGUGCGUAGCUAUAUUAUUAGAAUGAAUAAUCGAAAAAAUGAAAUCAUUGAAUGAAGGUCAGUGCUUUUCAGAGGAUGUUGUUGAAAAAGGGGAAAAGGGGGCGGGGCAGCAUGCAAAGUGGGGGUGUCGCAACACCCCUAAGAACUUCUAAUACCUUGCUUCUGUUAGGGCGAUUAAAUGUGUAAUGUCUUAAAUGUCUCAGUCAAGACUGGAAACUGUUUGGGAAAUAAGGUCGAAGUCUUAAUUGCUUAAUCGUGGUGUGAUUUUCCUAUCCAAGUUUGCGAACGUGACGCUCGUGUCUGGAAAUGUUUGCGCGUGCGGCCCCGGCAGACCUAAAAAGUUCGAGCGCCCUUGAACGCUCCGUGGGAUUCAGAAUAACGCGGUGGCGACAUCUCGCGUGCAAAUGGAUCCCUUGCGUCGGCUCAAAAAAGAGACUCGCUUAGUCGCCACGAGAGGGCGCUGUCCGCUCACUCUUCCAACGUCACGGCGUCAAGUUUUCCAAGUACGGCAACACUACUACCUCAGGACUUGCUCUGAUUUGGAUUCUCCAUCAAAUAUUUGUGCAUUUAAAAAAUAUAUAAUUGUAGCACUUUUAAAAAAAAAAAAAAAACUUACUCUCUUACUU